AAAACUGUUACCGAUCCUUAUCCAGACGUAACAAAAGCCGGGGUUUACGGUAACGAAAUCCCG
RNAcentral lists this small RNA (63 nucleotides) under Pseudomonas sp. StFLB209. Its description in RNAcentral is "Pseudomonas sRNA P36". It matches the Rfam family "Pseudomonas sRNA P36". Lineage: Bacteria; Pseudomonadati; Pseudomonadota; Gammaproteobacteria; Pseudomonadales; Pseudomonadaceae. The record is from Rfam by way of RNAcentral.